GGCGUAGCGGGAGGCUCUGACGCGCGGUCCACACCACGGCCGCCGGGACCGCGCCGAGCCACUGGCGAGACCGACCCGCUGAUGG
This 85-nucleotide non-coding RNA is filed under the name unclassified sequences. RNAcentral describes it as "c-di-GMP sequence". It matches the Rfam family "c-di-GMP-II-GAG riboswitch aptamer". The record is from Rfam by way of RNAcentral.